This 1341-nucleotide ribosomal RNA is filed under the name uncultured bacterium. RNAcentral describes it as "16S ribosomal RNA". It matches the Rfam family "Bacterial small subunit ribosomal RNA", at positions 28 to 1381 of the family's 1533-position model. The record is from RNAcentral.
GACGAACGCUGGCGGCGUGCUUAACACAUGCAAGUCGAACGGUAAGGCUCCAGCUUGCUGGGGUACACGAGUGGCGAACGGGUGAGUAACACGUGGGUGACCUGCCCUGCACUUCGGGAUAAGCCUGGGAAACUGGGUCUAAUACCGGAUAGGACCGCACCGUGAGGGUGUGGUGGAAAGUUUUUUCGGUGUGGGAUGGGCCCGCGGCCUAUCAGCUUGUUGGUGGGGUAAUGGCCUACCAAGGCGGCGACGGGUAGCCGGCCUGAGAGGGUGGACGGCCACAUUGGGACUGAGACACGGCCCAGACUCCUACGGGAGGCAGCAGUGGGGAAUAUUGCACAGUGGGCGGAAGCCUGAUGCAGCGACGCCGCGUGGGGGAUGACGGCCUUCGGGUUGUAAACUCCUUUCACCAUCGACGAAGGGUUUCUGACGGUAGAUGGAGAAGAAGCACCGGCUAACUACGUGCCAGCAGCCGCGGUAAUACGUAGGGUGCGAGCGUUGUCCGGAAUUACUGGGCGUAAAGAGCUCGUAGGUGGUUUGUCGCGUCGUCUGUGAAAUUCCGGGGCUUAACUCCGGGCGUGCAGGCGAUACGGGCAUAACUUGAGUACUGUAGGGGAGACUGGAAUUCCUGGUGUAGCGGUGAAAUGCGCAGAUAUCAGGAGGAACACCGGUGGCGAAGGCGGGUCUCUGGGCAGUAACUGACGCUGAGGAGCGAAAGCAUGGGGAGCGAACAGGAUUAGAUACCCUGGUAGUCCAUGCCGUAAACGGUGGGCGCUAGGUGUGGGUUUCCUUCCACGGGAUCCGUGCCGUAGCUAACUCAUUAAGCGCCCCGCCUGGGGAGUACGGCCGCAAGGCUAAAACUCAAAGGAAUUGACGGGGGCCCGCACAAGCGGCGGAGCAUGUGGAUUAAUUCGAUGCAACGCGAAGAACCUUACCUGGGCUUGACAUAUACAGGAUCGCGCCAGAGAUGGUGUUUCCCUUGUGGCUUGUAUACAGGUGGUGCAUGGUUGUCGUCAGCUCGUGUCGUGAGAUGUUGGGUUAAGUCCCGCAACGAGCGCAACCCUUGUCUUAUGUUGCCAGCACGUUGUGGUGGGGACUCGUAAGAAACUGCCGGGGUUAACUCGGAGGAAGGUGGGGAUGACGUCAAAUCAUCAUGCCCCUUAUGUCCAGGGCUUCACACAUGCUACAAUGGUCGGUACAGUGGGUUGCCAGUCCGUGAGGGCGAGCUAAUCCCGCAAAGCCGGUCUCAGUUCGGAUCGGGGUCUGCAACUCGACCCCGUGAAGUCGGAGUCGCUAGUAAUCGCAGAUCAGCAACGCUGCGGUGAAUACGUUCCCGGGCCU